This 422-nucleotide ribosomal RNA is filed under the name Bacteroidota bacterium. Its description in RNAcentral is "Bacteroidetes bacterium partial 16S ribosomal RNA". It matches the Rfam family "Bacterial small subunit ribosomal RNA", at positions 355 to 776 of the family's 1533-position model. The record is from RNAcentral. Lineage: Bacteria; Pseudomonadati; Bacteroidota.
UGGGGAAUUUUGCACAAUGGGCGCAAGCCUGAUGCAGCGACGCCGCGUGAGGGAUGAAGGCCUUCGGGUUGUAAACCUUUUUCGCUCAUGGUCAAGCCGCAGCUUUGGGUUGUGGUGAGGGUAGUGGGUAAAGAAGCGCCGGCUAACUACGUGCCAGCAGCCGCGGUAAUACGUAGGGCGCGAGCGUUGUCCGGAAUUAUUGGGCGUAAAGGGCUUGUAGGCGGUUGGCCGCGUCUGCCGUGAAAUCCUCUGGCUUAACUGGGGGCGUGCGGUGGGUACGGGUUGACUUGAGUGCGGUAGGGGGGACUGGAAUUCCUGGUGUAACGGUGAAAUGCGUAGAUAUAUGGAGGAACACCAGUGGCGAAGGCGACUCUCUGGUCUGUAACUGACGCUGAGGCUCGAAAGCGUGGGUAGCAAACAGG